UGUUCCCUGUUGUUCUGUAGGGUCUGCAAGCACCUUAAAUCCACCCUUUAAUAACAGGGGAGUGGC
This 66-nucleotide microRNA precursor is filed under the name Oreochromis niloticus (Nile tilapia). RNAcentral describes it as "microRNA oni-mir-10914 precursor". The record is from miRBase by way of RNAcentral. Lineage: Eukaryota; Metazoa; Chordata; Actinopteri; Cichliformes; Cichlidae.